UCGGGGCAGAGGAGAUAUAAGGGCGGGGGCAGGGGGUCAGGGUCCGAUGGCGAGUUGAAGAUGCUACGCUGCCGACUUUGCAGGUGGAGGAAGGGGUCACAAGCCGAGGAAGGCAGGCGGCCCGGAGAAGUUGGAAAAGGCUAGGGAAGGGGUUCUCCCCUGGAGCCUCCAGACGGACCCGGUGCUGCUGCAGCCCCACUUGAGGCUGACUGUGGACCUCUGACCUCCGAGCCGGAUGCCUGGGUGGCUCAGUACGUUGAGCAUCUGACUUCGGCUCACGUCAUGAUCUCCCGGCUGUGAGUUCGAGCCCGCAUCUGGCUCUGCACUGACUUGCUCCGAACCUGGACCCUGUUUGGAAUUCUGGGUCUCCCCCUCUCUCUCUGCUCUGCUCACGUUGUCUCUCUCUCAAAAA
Acinonyx jubatus (cheetah) is the source of this 412-nucleotide long non-coding RNA. RefSeq lists it as uncharacterized. The record is from RefSeq and is a predicted model, not a curated record. The transcript has 2 exons. Lineage: Eukaryota; Metazoa; Chordata; Mammalia; Carnivora; Felidae.